AGCGGAUGUUGCUUAUAGGACUCC
RNAcentral lists this non-coding RNA (24 nucleotides) under Arabidopsis thaliana (thale cress). Lineage: Eukaryota; Viridiplantae; Streptophyta; Magnoliopsida; Brassicales; Brassicaceae. The record is from RNAcentral.